GGCUGGUCUGAAGGUAGUGAGUUAUUUCACUUGAUUGUUCAGUCACAGAUUGAACUCCUUGUUCUACCUUCCCCCUUCUCACCACUGCACUUGACUUGUCUUUU
Molecule: Y RNA, 104 nt
Filed under: Prolemur simus (greater bamboo lemur)
Lineage: Eukaryota; Metazoa; Chordata; Mammalia; Primates; Lemuridae
Description: Y RNA (ENSPSMG00000005894.1)
Rfam family: Y RNA
About the family: Y RNAs are components of the Ro ribonucleoprotein particle (Ro RNP), in association with Ro60 and La proteins.
Source: Rfam by way of RNAcentral